AAAAGCUGAAGAAGAACGAACUAGCACCUGCAACUAGCAAGCGUCAAGGCUUAAAUCUAAAGUCUGCAUGAAGAACCACUCAAAACUCAAGAUCAAGCUUCAGAAGACUUAUAGAUAGGAAUCUUGUAACUCGUAGUUGGUAGGCUUAGCUAGUCUUUUUCAUGUUUUGAUUUUUGAUUUAAUAACAGGACUGCGAACCGGAACCUCGGCAGAACGCACCUCGACCGGCUCCCUACCUCGGUAUACUCCAUCAUCUCCCUAACCUCUGAACUACACGUGGUGUGAUUCCUUUAUAGCCAAGGAUAUGUAGGCAGCUCAGAUACCAGAGCUCGAUCACCUUCCCAUAGUUUUAGUCUCUCCAAAUAAGGGUCGGGUAAAAAAAACCUGUCUAGUCGUUCUUUGUCUGAAAACUCUUCGCGUUUCCAGUCAAAGAGGGGUAGAUGUAGACAUG
RNAcentral lists this long non-coding RNA (451 nucleotides) under Nicotiana tabacum (common tobacco). RNAcentral's name for it is "long non-coding RNA (NTAB_LNC009738)". The record is from RNAcentral. Lineage: Eukaryota; Viridiplantae; Streptophyta; Magnoliopsida; Solanales; Solanaceae.